GACAGAGGGUGCAAACGUUGUUCGGAAUUACUGGGCGUAAAGCGCAUGUAGGCGGCCAAGCAGGUCGGAUGUGAAAGCCCUCGGCUCAACCAAGGAAGUGCAUUCGAAACCGCAUGGCUCGAGUCCCGGAGAGGAUGGUGGAAUUCUCGGUGUAGAGGUGAAAUUCGUAGAUAUCGAGAGGAACACCGGCGGCGAAGGCGGCCAUCUGGACGAGGACUGACGCUGAGAUGCGAAAGCGUGGGGAGCAAACAGG
Molecule: ribosomal RNA, 253 nt
Filed under: uncultured bacterium
Lineage: Bacteria
Description: partial 16S ribosomal RNA
Rfam family: Bacterial small subunit ribosomal RNA
Source: RNAcentral